Dromaius novaehollandiae (emu) is the source of this 6925-nucleotide long non-coding RNA. RefSeq lists it as uncharacterized. The transcript has 2 exons. Lineage: Eukaryota; Metazoa; Chordata; Aves; Casuariiformes; Dromaiidae. The record is from RefSeq and is a predicted model, not a curated record.
CGCGCCGCUGCUCCCAGAGGCCGACGAGAGGGAGGCGCUGUAGCCAAUGGCGCAGCGCCCUCGGCCCGGCGCGCCGGCAGGGCCGCAGCUGGGAGGAUUUAAAGGGGCAGCGCCGCCCGCAGCCUGGCGAACAAAGAGAGCGGGACGGGCGCGCGGGGCGUCCCGCCCCCGGCCCUCGCGCGGCGGCCGGGCCCCGCCCCCCUGGCGGCCGGUGUCGCCUGCGGGCCGCGGCCGGGCGCUGCCCGGGGCGGCUCAUGCCGAGCGGUGGCCGGUGGCCCGGGGCAGGCGGCCGCCGGCCGAAGGCGGUGCCCGCCAGGGUCGCUCCUGCCUGCGGGAGGGCUCGCCGCCUCGGCCCGGCUGAGGCCUGCGUGGUGCGCGAGGAGCCGGGCCCUGGCGUCGCCCCUCCUGGGAGCCCCUGGCGCUGCUUCUCGCCGAGUCGUGCUUUCUGUGCACGCACUGCUUUCCUGUCGUGAGGAGUUUGCCGUGUAGGUGGGUAGGAGCAUCCUGCUGCUGCGGCUGCUUCUCCUUGGGCACGUAGGUCUGUCCCGUGAAGUCCCGCAAGCUGGAUAAGCUACACAAGCUGUAGCGCAGCACUGCGUGUCAGCUGCAGGGUUUUCUGUUGCCGGGUGAAGCCGCCAUGGGCCUUGGUCGUGCCAGGAGAGACCGAUGAGCUUUGUCGGAGCUGUAUUGAUGUUACUGCUAAAUCCUGAGGCCAUUAAUCGAUUUGGCUUCCAGGCCUGGAGUGAAGAGGUGGGUAGCAGCCAGAAACCUGGUUCAGCUCCUUCUCUGAAAGGACAUUGGCGUGAGGUGUGCUGGUGUCUGGGUCUAAUAUUAGAAAAUCCAUCUGUGAUUAUAUGUAACUUGCCUGUUUACCUGGUCUGCUUGGUCAGGAUGAUCAUCCUGUCUGCAUCCACCAAGCAGGCAGAUGGAUGAUCAGGAUGCAUUAAAUACCUAAUCCUGUGGGAAGUCAGCUUCUUGGUGGUGAUGUUUUUCCUAGGCCACAAAGUGUUGUGCUGUCUUCCAUUUCCUCAGCCUACGGCUGCAUGACGUGAAAAUACAUGUGUGCUUUGUAGGGUCGAGCUGAAUCCCAGAAUAUUGUGUGAAAGUGAAUCUACAGCAUCUGUAUAUAUGGACAGGCAGGUGAACCAUCCCUUUUGAGUCUGGUAAAUAAAGAAAAACAGUAGCCUCCCAUCCUCUCAGAGAAGGUCCUUCCAACAGUUUAACAACAAAGUGACUCUUCAGAAGACCACAUGUAUCUGUGCAAUGAAUUAAGUGUGUGUAUUUCCAUCACCCUUACAUGGAACAUAGAUAAAAACUGUAUGUGUUACCUGAUGUAAAUGAAAGAAGCUUUUUUGAUCCAGAAGUCAGAAGUGAACUUGUACAGAUAUCAGAGGGUCUACUGUGGUGUAAAGAUGCAAGGGAAUAUAAUUACUCAUGGCUUCAUCCAUACAAGUUCACCGCAGCAGUUGAUCUGACUGGGAGUCAAGAAUAAUAGGUUUAAGAAGUUCUCACGGCACAAAAAUUGAGAAGAACUGAGGGAUGUUUACAAGUACAUCUGUCACUUCAGUGGUGCUUAACGUUCUGCAAAGCUCUUCAAAAUAUUUUAUAAUGUAACAUCUGGGAGUGAAAUACAGAGUACUGACAUACCUACUAUCAGCUGACAACUGAACAUGAUGAGACUGUAUCAAAAUUUAUAUUGGGGUAUAUACACCUUCGGUAAUGUAAUAAUUUCAGUUACUAAGCACUACCAAGUCCUAGAGCAGGAAGAUUCCUAGGGUAGUCAUUGCCGAGGCAUUUCUGACACUUUAUCUGUUCUGCAUGGGUAUUUUCCAAGCCCCUUGUGGAUAAUUAUAUGCAGGUAGUUGUGAACACGAGCAGGGUGUGAGUUUUGGGGUGGUGUGGGAGUUUUUUUGGUAGUUCUCAUAACGCAAAAUCAGUAUUGAUUAUGGGUAAGCUUGACAUGUCUUUGCCAGUACAAGACUCCAGCAUGCUAUUUUUCUGCUAUGAGAUUAAUAAUUUGAGUCAUAAAUUGGUGUUUGUAGGAUGGAAUUUGUAAUUAAGCAUGGAUUAACUCUAGGCUGCCACGCUUCCACCCCGCAUUCCUUAAGAGGAUCUAGCACUGUUACUUUUUUGCUGGAAUGUGAUACUAUUGAUGUGAUCACUGAAACUAUUUCCUUUAUAACACUGGUUUCUUCAGGCAGCGCAGCUCAUAAAUUUUGCUGUGACAAGGUCUCUAAGCUUUAGUUCACACAAUGGUAGGACCAUUGUUAUUCUAAGAAAAACAGCAUGAAAAUCAUCUGUGAUGUGAUGCACACUGCACAUACGUUGGGUGUAACGGAUCUGACCUAAUUCUGACAUGAAGCCACAUCUGCUGGUAUGUUUGUGGUUAUUGGCCUAUGCUGACUCAUACUGGUCUUUGCCCCUGGUGAUGGCCUGGAAGAUGGCCCUUCCCUGCAUUUUCACCCAUAGAGGUUCUUGCCUCAAUGUUUUGGGGUUUUGUCUUCUGGGUGUUUGAGUGUUAGAGACUUCUGGACAUCAGAAGAGAGUAUCUUCCGUUGUAUUGCCAUCUAGCAUAGAAGUACCAGAGCUUCAGACUGGCUGUAGAUAUCUCUAGCACUUUGGCUUUCAGACCAGAUGCUGGUACGUCACUCCAGUAUAUCUGCAGCUACUGCCACACUGGUGUCUGCAUGUGCUAUGGCAGCUGUUCAGCAGUUUUGGUCUCAUGCUUCAUACAACAGCCUCAACCAAAAAAGAUCUAAACACUGAACAUCCUUAGACAGGAAUGAGCUAGGGCCUGCAGGUAGUAGAGUUAGUUCAGUGCCAGCCAGCAAGCUGGGCCUGAAAAGAUGUCCUAGAUGCUCCAGAAGAAAGAGUAAUUUCAAAGAGGUGUUGCUAGAAACUCCUGGAAGAAUGCUAUUUACAGCUCCAGUUGAAAUUAAACAGGUGCACACAAGACCUGAGCUAUCCCUGGGCCAAAGAAAGACAGAACAAAGACUGUCUUAGAACCAAGAGAAAGGUUAAUCUCUGCUGCAGAGAGCUGGCUUGCAUCAAUCUAUAAAGGCAGGCAACAAAUCUUGCUGCCUCCUGGACAUUCAGAAAGUUAUGAUGGCUUUCUGGUCAUCAGUUGAUAAUGAAGCAGAGAGCUAAGACCACAGCUCCUGGUGGCAAGGCCAUCUUUGCUUCUCUGGUGCUUGUAGUACCCUGUAAUCCUUAGGAUUUCCUGCUGUGUAACUUAGGCUUUCUCAUGCAUAGCAGGCUAGCCAGAAUGUGGAUGCUGGCAGGGACAGAGGUGGGCAUGUCCACUGCCCUUAGAUGCAGCCAGAGCAACCUGCCUGCAAAAUAGGUGAACAGAGCAUGCUUUUCAACAGCUGCAUGUAUUUACACUGCCACUUGCUGAUAUUUUCCUAUUUUUUAACAGCCAGGACUGGAGUUUUGCUUGAGCUCAGCCUAUUCCUAUCAGUCUGCCACUUCUCUUGCCAGGCUUAUAGUGAAAUUCCUUUUUUUUCCACAUUAGUAGCAAGAUGACAGAGUGAUUUUGCUGUAGCUUGCAUGUGAGCUGUUAGCAUGUAUAUGGAACAUGACAUUUUGCAAUGCUUUAAAUUUUUUUUUAUUCUGACCUACCAGGAAUCAUUCGUGCCCCUAGUAUGGAUAAUGAGCAGUGCAUGUGCCUGCCUCCAGGAAACUUCUCAUACCGUGGCUCUUUGCAUGUAGCACUUCUGCUGUGUUUGUUUGAUUUGAGAGGAGGCUUGUCUUAAAUAAUGGCUGUAGAUUUUUUUUUUUUUAAUCAGUGAGGAAGCCUCCAGCAAGUUCCACCCCCUUAAAGCAGGGAGGUGCUCAGGAAAAUUACUACCUAAAGAUGCCAUGCUGCCAGGAUUACCAUGCUAUUUUCUGCACAGAAGGUUAUUUUGCCUUGCCCAGAGCCAGUGUCUUUGAUUUGGGGGAAAAAACACAUUUAAAAUAUAAGUGUUUGCUUUGUCACACCUCCUUCCCUUUGUCUGUUUUGAAAUGGGGUGGGCUAGAGUGACAAAACAGCCCAAAGAAACCAGAAUGGGUAACCUGGGGACCUUGCACUAAAACAAGCUUGUUGAAGAUCUUGGAUACAUCGAAGGCAGGCAACUUUAUUUGCUAGAAUUCAUUCCUUCGUGGUAAUACAAGUCAAUACAAGCAGACUGAGGAGGUCCCAUCAAUUUAAAGCCAUUGUUUCAGACCUUCUGUCCUCUCAUCACUGUUGCCCCUGCCCCACAGCCAAGGAUUCUUUCCAAUUUCCAUCAGAUUUGUGCAGGAAGCAGCACAAAUUAAGCAUCUUGGGAAGCAGCUUGUGCUUAAAUGCAGCAGUAAUCACCAGCUUGGUUUCAGCUGAAGGAGUGCAUUUUCACUGCUUCUGCCAUAGCCGAACAACGUUUGGCAGUGAUCUAUAGGAGCGAUAUAUGGACAGAGGAUUUGGGGGCAGGGAAGGAUACGCAUCUCAUUGAAAAGUAAGGGCCACUCUGAGAAGCAAGGCUUUUUCUUCAUAAAUCCGUGCUGUAGGGCAGCUCUUGAAUAUUUGGGCGUUAUGAAUGGAAUCAGUCCGACCAUGAAGGACAACAGAAGAAUAACCAGGAUGCACCACUGCUGGCAGGGUAAAGAGAAGAGAAUGCCUUUCUUUGACACUUCAGCAUGCCUGCAGGACAAAAGGGAGGGCUAUUCAUGCCAUCAAUGAUCCCAGUGCAAUUGGGAAAAACAAGAACAAUAAGCGCCCUAUGCCCUACUCUAUAACUGGAGUUUGAAGGUGAUACAGCACCAUUUUCACAGUCUUACAGGUCUCAAAUAUCAGCUUCAAGGGCUGGUCUGGUCACUCAGCACCAGAAUUGCCUCAGAACAGCUCACAGUUAGGAGCUACUGAUUUCUAAAAGGCAACUGCCUCCUGUCCUCUGCUGUCACACUGGACUCUAGAAGUCCUCUUCUGAACUCCACUAACUCAGAAGCCAGGAAUUUCUUUCUCCAGGCCUGGUUCUGUAUCCUCCUUGCUGUCCUCCCCAAUCAAAUGAUAAAUGUUUGGUCCUCUACCUGUGCUUUUAUUCACUGCUACAAGGAAAUCACCCCUUAAGAGGGCAGCAGAGACAUGUAGCCGUCCUAGAGAUACUUGAUUCAUACAGCCCCGGUGCCAAUACAAAUAGGAUGCAACGUUUUAGUAGCCUGAACAAACUACAAGCACUGAAGUGGCCAUGGUCCAUAGCUGGUAUCUCUCUUUCUGCUGGCCCUGGAAGUAGGUGACUGAACCUCCGAUAAACUGCUUGCUCCUAGUAAUGCCAGUGCUCACACAAUUUGUUAGAAACCCUACGGUGUUGCAACGCACUCCAGGAUACCAAACCCCAUCAGUAAAACAUGCAUCAAGUCAAACACAUCUCUUAAAUCAUCUCUGCCUUCUAGUUGCUGAAAUGCUUCUGGUAAGAGGCCUGUCUGUAACUCAGACUUGGACAACUUUCACAUCUACCUGCCUCUUAUGGCUUUCAUCACAAGCGCUGUCAAAGGAGCUGUAGGAAAACAUGUUACAAGCUUCUGAGCUGGUGCCAUUACCUUAUCCCACUAUACCUAAGAGGAAAACCUUAGUAAAACACUCCAAAUCCAGUAUACUCAGAAAGAUUGAUUACUACUGUAUCUUAAGAAUCAGUAACAAGCAACAUACACUUGUACCAUUUAGUCACUUGCUGAACAGAGACUAACAGCAUAAAGUUCAAUAGAAGGAAAAACAUUUUCUGUGAAGAGAAACACUGAUCGUGAAACUCUACAAGACGAUUUAACAACUCACGGUUGCCAAAAGGCAGAGGUUUCACUCAAACUUUUUACUUUGAACCACCUUUGCUGCUGGUCAUGCACUGCACAAACUCAUUCACCUCACUAACCUCAGGGGCGGGGGAAUGAGAUUUCUGCACUUAAAUCAGUUCAUAAAAGGUUUUAAUGAGCACCAGAGUCAGUGCAAGAGAAGGUAUGGGAUGCUGUGGCCAGGACUGGGGCAUAAGGAGCAGCAGCAACAGCAAGCACUUGUAACUGCUCAGUUGCUCAGAGAAUCACACUUUGGAAGGAAUAGGUUUGGGGGGGCUCACUACUUGUAGAAACAAGGAGUUGCUAACCAGUCAAGUUCAGGUCUUUUGUUAGGCAAAAAUAUUUGCACCUCCCAGGAAGUGAAACAGUGCUUGUGUCACUAGGAAUGUCCGGAGUAUCACCUGCAUUGAAAUAAAGCAAAUGAGUCUCGGGGAGAUUUAGGUUAUCGGGACUCCCUGGAAGUCUCCAAAAAGAGAGGUCAGCAGAAUACAGUAGAAAAAGCCCAUCACGAGUGAAAACUGAAGACUUGCUACCCAAGGCAUUAAGGAGUCAGUGGUAGUAAGACAGCUGCAGAAUCUGUAUCAGGUCACCUAGUUAAAAACAGAGACCUUUCUGGUUUAGUGAAGAUAAUUUCAAGAGACAAGAGAAGACUGUUUGCAUCCCCACACACACACCUUCUUCCUCAAUUCUGGCACUUGCUCAGCAGUGAUUUUGGCAUUUGUUGGAUUCCACGAGCCAUUCAACUUGCUAACCUAGCAAAAAAGCAAUUGGGCUCAAAACAACAAAAAGACAAGCUGCUGCUGGGUUAACAGGCUGAAUGACUCCCACAAGUCUGAUACACUUGACACAGGGAACGGGAGGGGAAGAGGUGGAAGCAGGAAGGAGACAUUCUGCUUUACACAGCAGCAUCAAUAAAUCAGUUCUGUUUCUUCAGUGCCCCCGGUUUGCAUGGCUUUAUAAUCACCUGCCAGUCCAGCUGCUGCAGAAAGGGACUUCUGCUCUCUGCAGUCCAAUCACACAAUUGUGCUGAAUCCCUAGGAUGAGGGAGGGCAGGACUGUGUUGCUCCUGCCAAAAUAUAUUUCUGUAUUUUCAGUGUGGAAAUAGAUUGUUGGGUUUCUUUCA